GGGUGAUCUAUUUUCAAUCGCUGCGGAUCGGAAGCGUUUGAUAUCUGUUGUUUUCGUUUUCUGAACGAAUUGGAUGAUCUAUUUUUUUCCCAUAGGAAUAUUGAGAGGCUAGGAGUUCCGAUUAUUGGAAUCCGACUAGUGGAUUAUUCUUUAACCGCUCUUUUUUUUUUUCUUGCGAUCUAUCAGAGGGCUUCACAAUUUUGCCGGAUUAAGGCUAUUUGCGACAGAUUUUAUAUGUACUUUCGAAGCGGUAGGUGAGGCUUUGGUGUUUGUGUGGGUAUUAUCUUAAUGGAACCCUCGCGGAGUCUGUGAGGCAAUUUGUGAAGGUUGCUCUGGUUUUCCGAAAUGAUCUGAACAAGGGAUGUGUCCUUUUUGAUCUGGUUUAGUUGGCCUUCGUUACUUUCAACUUUUAUUUGUUGCAUUUAUGUCCACCAGUUGGUUAUGUUUGUUUGUUUUUAUUUUUUGUGUGCAAGGGAAAGCUUCUGGAUAUGAUAUUUGAAAGAGAGAUGUGUGUGUUUUGCUACCAUGCUAUGAUAUUUGGUUUGAGAUAUACGCUAACGGUAUCUGCAUCAAUGCUGUGUCUUUUGGAUACUCUAGUUGGAUUUAGACGGGUAUCAGGGAAGAGUUCCAUCAACUUCUCAUAUUUUGAGGGUUUUUGUGGGCAGUUUCCGAAGCAUCAUCGUUAGGCAUGAUUCUAUUAAAUAGAGAUGAUUCUAUAUGUGUCAUCGACGCUGUUGGUGGGGCUCUGGUGUUUUUGUGAUUAUUAUCUGUAUGGAGCCACACGUAGCUGUGAUGCAGUUUGUAAAGGAUGCUCCAAUUAAGGAUGCUCUGGUUUUUGUUGAAUGAUUUAAAUAGGUUUUCCAUUAGAUAGUGUUAUAUUUAAGGGGUUUCAUUGUUGUGACAUACGUUGCUUAUUAUGAUGGAUCCAGGGCUUCCGAAAUUAUCUGAACAGUGGAUAUGUCCGGGGAAGCUGAUGGACAUCUAGUUUUGCAUGGGCAUGGGACAUUUUUUUGAAAGUGAGAUGUGAGUGUUCUGCUACCUUCCUAUGGUAUUUGGUUUCGAUAUGUUCUACUCUAUCAUCAUUCAUGGAAGAGGUUCCUUUCACUUUUCAUUGGCUAUCUAAUUGUUGAUUGUCUGUCUACUUAUUCCAUUGGCAUGCUUGGUACAUUUUAUAAAUUUGCACUUUUGAAGUCAGUCUUUCUCUUUGUUUUCUGAAUGUCCUAUUUGUAGGGUUUUUGUGUGCAGUUGCAGAAGCAUCAGUAUCAGCAUUAGCCAUAAGCCUGGUUAUUAGGAUUAUGACCUUUCUUGAAUAGAAUUUUUGGUGAUGUGAACAAUGUAGUUGGAACAUCUACGGAAAGCCUAGCAUGAUUAAACAGAAAUUCAUGGGAAAGAUUUUAUUGGCUUUAACUGGUUUUCCCAGGAUUAACAUUAGAUUGAAAAGCUUGGAACUGACAUUUGAAUUGAUCCACUAGUACCUGUUGCUAUUGCCCAUGAUGUUUGCAAGUUUUGGUUCGAUUUUGUUCUUUUCCUGUGUGUACAUGUUUAUAUGGUUCAAAGAACUCUGGAAGGUUGUGUUUGGUUGAAAGGGGGUGGUGCAUUUGGAUUGAGAUUAGCAAAUUGAAAAGAUUGGAAGAUGACUUUUGAUUGAGAUUAGGGCAUUGAGAAGGUUGGAAAAUGAUUCUUUAGUUGAUUCGCAAGUCUCAGUAGCUAUUACCGGUGAUGUUCUGCAAUUUAUGGAUGGAUUUUGUUUUAUUUUCCUGUGCCUACAUAUUUGUAUGUUCCAAAGAACUUUGGAAGUUCUGUUUUUGGUUGAAAACAUGGUGCAAUGGGAUGUUGUAUCUAUUACGCAAAUUGGUUGUACCAAAAAUUAUUGUGGACUAGUACUCAGAUUUUGUCAUAAGUUAUCAGAUCAAGGUUUUUGAUA
Musa acuminata subsp. malaccensis (wild Malaysian banana) is the source of this 1924-nucleotide non-coding RNA. NCBI's taxonomy places the organism in Eukaryota, Viridiplantae, Streptophyta, Magnoliopsida, Zingiberales, Musaceae. The record is from RefSeq and is a predicted model, not a curated record.